This 1737-nucleotide long non-coding RNA is filed under the name Homo sapiens (human). RNAcentral describes it as "TPT1 antisense RNA 1". Lineage: Eukaryota; Metazoa; Chordata; Mammalia; Primates; Hominidae. The record is from RNAcentral.
GAUUACAGGCACGCGCCACCACUCCCAGUUUACACCCCGCCACUCCUGAGCACCGCACACCGGCUUCCUCCCAGUCCCUCAUCUGAGAACUCAUGAAGCCACUUGGAAUCCCUCUCUGCUUUGCCUGGCUCAUUCCAUGUCAAUUUCAGAUCUUCACUUCAGGUCAGCUCCAAGGAGGCUAUCCUUGCCCAUCUUCCUAAAAUAGAGCUCUCAAAACCUGGCUGUUUUCCUUCAGAGCACUGGCCUCCAAUUGCUCCGGUAGAUUGCAAAUGACCUGCUUUCUUUCUGUUCCCGGGCGUUUGGACCCCUGUCUUGGACCGCUGUCGGAUAGUAAAUCCCAAGUAAGGUACCUGCCGUCGGCAGAUUUGAGCUUUCUUCUUGGACACCUAAUACCCAGAGUCCUCCAGGCUCCGGUAGAUUGCAAAUGACCUGCUUUCUUUCUGUUCCCGGGCGGCAUCGGACCCGUCGGAGAGUAAAUCCCAAGUAAGGUACCUGCCGUUGGCAGAUUUGAGCUUUCUUCUUGGACACCUAAUACCCACAGUCCUCCAGGCUCCGGUAGAUUGCAAAUGACCUGCUUUCUUUCUGUUCCCGGGUGGCAUCGACCCGUCGGAGAGUAAAUCCCAAGUAAGGUACCUGCCGUUGGCAGAUUUGAGCUUUCUUCUUGGACACCUAAUACCCACAGUCCUCCAGUAAAUCCCAAGCAAGGUACCUGCCGUCAGCAGAUUUGAGCUUUCUUCUUGGACACCUAAUACCCACAGUCCUCCAGGCUCCGGUAGAUUGCAAAUGACCUGCUUUCUUUCUGUUCCCGGGCUGCGUUCGGACCCCUGUCGGAUAGUAACUCCCAAGCUCCGGUAGAUUGCAAAUGACCUGCUUUCUUUCUGUUCCCGGGCUGCGUUCGGACCCCUGUCGGAGAGUAAAUCCGAAAAAAACAAACAAAGACAUGGAUUUACUGUGCAUAUUAGCAGAUCCAUACUGGAAAAUGCAUGGAGGUUUCAUAUACACCACUUACAGUUUUCAGCUCCUCAGUAGUGACAAAGCCAUACCCAUCAUUGUCGAUUCGAUCAACAAUCUUCCCUAGCCUCUCCUUGCUCUCGUCCGGGGUGAGCUCGUCGAAGUUCUUGGAGUCCUCCUUGCCCAGGAAGGCCUCGUGGUCGUACUGGAAGCUCUGGUUGUCCUCAGGGGGCCGCUCGCCCAGCUCCGAGUCGGGCCGCACCACGCGCUCUUUGCGCACCGUGGGCUUGGCCCGCAGAACCCGCGGCGCCAGCACCAGCGCCAGCAGCAGCCCCAGGGCUAACCCCAGGCGGCCACCGCGCGCCAUCGUCCCGAGGAGAGGGCGGCCGGGAGGGAGACGCUGAGCGAGCGACAACAGCGGCAGCUCGGGAAUGGGGGCUCGGAGCGCGGCGGCCAAGUUUUAUGUUAUGUAUAUUUUACAAGUAAAAAAAUUUUUUCACCUCAGCCUGAACUGAACACUAGCUGACAGACGUUUUGAUUUCUUUGACCAUCACGGAAUCGUGGCCAAGCGCGGUGGCUCACAUCUGUAAUCCCAACACUUUGGGAGGUCAAGAUGGGCGGAUUGCUUGAAUCCAGGUGUUUGAGAUCAGCCUGGGCAACAUGACAAAACCCUGUUUCUAGUAAAAAUACAAAAAUUAACCAGGCUCAAGCCAUGACCAUGCACCAUUGCACUCCAGCCUAGGCGACAGAGCAGGACCCUGUCUCAAAAAAAAAAAAAAAAAAAAA